AGACCCAGAUUGUACUGUUGGCUAUAUUGAGGAUGCAGCAGAGGAUACCCCUUCAGCAGGCAGCAGGGUCACAUUAGGUACGCAGGGAAACGCGGCAUAAUAAAACACCUUGUGGAGCAGUGCUGUGCUGAGAAGAGCUCGGCUGGCCAAUACUCGGGAGAUGGCUCGGAGGCCCAUCCCAGAAGUGCUCCGGCUGGCCAAGAGGAGUCUCCUCGCAGCAGGUGUCAGUCUGGCACUGUGCUAUCCGCCCAGCAGUCGGGUGUCCUCGCCAGCCCCGGGAGCUGCCUCUUCAUCGGCUUCCUAAUUAACAAAGAACCGAUACCGGCGCUGGGGAUCUCAUCCCGGCAGUGCCGUCUCUUGCAGACCUGUAGCAGUGCCCAUCAGGUGAGAACGUUUUGGCUGCUGUACGGUUUAAAAUGUCCUAGCCCUGUGGAGGAUGCUCAAGAGAAAUAGGAGCUGGACUGGGAAUGCCACAGGACUUCUAUCGUGUCAUUUACAUCUCUCAGGGUUUCAACGCUCCAUGUCUGAGGCUAGAAAACCCCAUAUAUGACUGUCAAACGUUUACAUAAUUCGCUUCAUGCAGAGGAGUAUCAAAGAGAGUUUUGUGGUAGCUGGCUCUAUCUCCCAUUCUUAUGUCUUCUGCUUCCCACAGGUCAUUCUUGUGGAGGAACAUCCCAGCUCACACAGCAGAGCCGUUGUGGAUUUUUAAGGUUGUUUAGAUGCGCGCAUGGUCUUGUUAGGGCUGGCGUAAAGUCGCAUUCUUAACGACGGAAGGAGUCUUUACCUGACUCGUGGCAACUUCUGUGGGGAGCAAUUGAAAUGUGUUUGGUUUGUUAAUUUAUUCCAGUUUACGACAUGUUACUUUUUGAUAAAAAA
Harpia harpyja (harpy eagle) is the source of this 876-nucleotide long non-coding RNA. RefSeq lists it as uncharacterized. The record is from RefSeq and is a predicted model, not a curated record. The transcript is spliced from 4 exons. NCBI's taxonomy places the organism in Eukaryota, Metazoa, Chordata, Aves, Accipitriformes, Accipitridae.